Molecule: long non-coding RNA, 207 nt
Filed under: Lathyrus oleraceus (garden pea)
Lineage: Eukaryota; Viridiplantae; Streptophyta; Magnoliopsida; Fabales; Fabaceae
Description: Pisum sativum (pea) long non-coding RNA (PSAT_LNC036655)
Source: RNAcentral
AAGAAAAUAAAAUGUGAAAAAAUAAAAAUCAGAUGUAGAAAAAUAAAAGAGAAUUUUAGAAAUUAUUUUGGGAUUUUUUGGAUGAAAAAUGAAUUUACUAUGAAUUGUCAAAGAAAAUGCAAUUUAAAAUAAAAAAUAAAAUAAAAAAAAUCAGAAAAAAUACAGAGCGUUUGAUCUGACCUCAUUAAUUGAUGUGGUAAAUCCAAC